UACGAAGGGGGCUAGCGUUGCUCGGAAUCACUGGGCGUAAAGCGCACGUAGGCGGAUCUUUAAGUCAGGGGUGGAAUCCUGGAGCUCAACUCCAGAACUGCCUUUGAUACUGGGGAUCUCGAGUCCGGGAGAGGUGAGUGGAACUCCGAGUGUAGAGGUGAAAUUCGUAGAUAUUCGGAAGAACACCAGUGGCGAAGGCGGCUCACUGGCCCGGUACUGACGCUGAGGUGCGAAAGCGUGGGGAGCAAACAGG
This 253-nucleotide ribosomal RNA is filed under the name uncultured bacterium. RNAcentral's name for it is "partial 16S ribosomal RNA". It matches the Rfam family "Bacterial small subunit ribosomal RNA", at positions 524 to 776 of the family's 1533-position model. The record is from RNAcentral.